AGAGUUUUGGAUCAUGGCUCAGAACGAACGCUGGCGGCAUGGUUAAGGCAUGCAAGUCGAACGCGAAAUCCCGGCUUGCCGGGACGGUAGAGUGGCGCAAGGGCGAGUAAUGCAUGGGUAACGUACCCCGGGCACGAGGAUAGCCCCGAGAAAUCGGGGGUAAUACUCGAUGAGACCACGGUGUCGCAAGGCACAGCGGUCAAAGGGCGGGGAUCCCUUCGGGGACCUGUCGGCCCGGGAGCGGCCCAUGUCCUAUCAGCUUGUUGGUGAGGUAACGGCUCACCAAGGCAACGACGGGUAGCGGGACUGAGAGGUUGGCCCGCCGCAUUGGGACUGAGACACUGCCCAGACUCCUACGGGAGGCUGCAGCACCGAAUAUUGUCCAAUGGGCGAAAGCCUGAGACAGCAAUGCCGCGUGCGGGAGGAAGUCCCUCGGGAUGUAAACCGCUGUCAGGGGCUACCAAGCAAUGGGGUCUAACAUACCCCGGCGUUGAGGAGCCCCAGAGGAAGCCACGGCUAACUUCGUGCCAGCAGCCGCGGUAAUACGAAGGUGGCGAGCGUUGUUCGGAAUCACUGGGCUUAAAGAGCACGUAGGCGGACCGUCAAGCGUCUUGUGAAAUCCCUCGGCUCAACCGAGGAACUGCUUGGCGAACUGACGGUCUUGAGGCAGGCAGGGGUGUGUGGAACUCUUGGUGGAGCGGUGGAAUGCGUAGAUAUCAAGAGGAACGCCGGCGGUGAAGACGACGCACUGGGCCUGUCCGAGGCUUCAAUCCCGAUUCGUCGGGAUUGGAGGCCUCUCCUGA
Molecule: ribosomal RNA, 803 nt
Filed under: uncultured bacterium
Lineage: Bacteria
Description: bacterial SSU rRNA
Rfam family: Bacterial small subunit ribosomal RNA
Source: RNAcentral